This is a long non-coding RNA of Mauremys mutica (yellowpond turtle), 841 nucleotides long. RefSeq lists it as uncharacterized. The record is from RefSeq and is a predicted model, not a curated record. Lineage: Eukaryota; Metazoa; Chordata; Testudines; Geoemydidae. The transcript is spliced from 3 exons.
GUGAGACCAAGGAAACCAACGCGCCUUAUAGUCAGAAAAUCCCAUACAAAAGAGUCCUUGUUAAAAUGAAGUUACUAGACACAAAUCAGUGAUUUGAGCACCUGUUACAAAAAAAAUCCAACAUUCCUGAAAAGCUCAUGAAACUUCAGAUGCAAUCCUUCAAUCAAAACUCAAACAGCUGGCUAGACAAGCACUGGAUAGAACAUAGAUGCCACACAUUUCCUACCUGAAUGAAUGUAUCAUCCAGGAGCCUGAUCCUGUGAGCUGCAGAGAUCCUUGUAAGAUUUACAGAGUUCUCUCAAGUAAAAUUGACUUGAGUGGGAAUUAAGGGUGCUUCUCCUCUUGCAGGAUUGGUCUUUACUUAGGCCCACUCCUUCUUGCCUUGACUUUGAUGGGAGUAGGAUCAGACAAACAAAUUGUAGGUGCUUGGUGUUCAACAAUUAAUAGAUAAUAUCCUGAUUUCAAAUUACAAGUAUUGAAAACUCCAUCAUAUGCAUCUUAGGUUAUGUCUACUACAGUGACAACCCACAGUUUGGACUGCAAGGGUGUGACUACAAUACUGCACUGUAAUUCUCCUCUGUGGGUGCUGCACAUGCAAACUAAAAAGUUCUUAAUUUGUGUUAAUGUAGUCCUGAUAAUGUGAACCGGGAACUUUUUAGUUCACACCCGCAGCAUCCUCACAGAGGAAUUACAUUGCAGCAUGUUGUUGCAUACUGGUAUUCAUAUCCCCAUAGUCCAAACUGUGGGACAGUGCAGUGUAGGAAAAUCCUUCCAAAGGACACUGUCUGGACAGAUGCGCUCUGCUUACAUUUUCAAACAGAUAUAGGAAUGUAAGAGUUCA